Molecule: non-coding RNA, 425 nt
Organism: Pelobates cultripes (western spadefoot toad)
Lineage: Eukaryota; Metazoa; Chordata; Amphibia; Anura; Pelobatidae
Source: the annotation of a GenBank genome assembly
CUGGACCGUAAUUCAGAGCAGUGAGAGUGUGGGGAGGUUAUCCUGGCCGGGUGUAAUGGGUGCUGGGUCCUCCCUCAGAGCGGCUCUCCCGCUCUCUCUCACCCGGGAAGGAGCACAGGGUGGUUUUGCAUACAGUCUCGUUUCCCACCCGCGGGACCAGCCGGAGGCUCAGGAUCUGCUGCAGGAGCCCGGCCUCGCCUCCCAGCCCUCCUCCACCGCCGUCCAUAUCUUCUCCAUCCACCGCCCUGCAGGCCGCGGCGCCUCCUCGGGCUGUCCUAACUCUCCUCGGCAGGCCGUCAGCGCUGUCACACGGGGAGCCUCAUCAGAAAGCGCUCGGCGAGCGAACGCCAAUCACAAGAGAGAAAAUGCCACAAGCGGGCGGGACUAGGGAGCGCACCGCGCGACGAUUGGUCGCUGCAGACAUC